Molecule: long non-coding RNA, 1213 nt
Organism: Penaeus monodon (black tiger shrimp)
Lineage: Eukaryota; Metazoa; Arthropoda; Malacostraca; Decapoda; Penaeidae
Exons: 4
Source: RefSeq, a predicted model, not a curated record
UAAAUCACGAAAAGAUAAAAACAAAAAAUAUAAAUUAAUAAAGAAAUAUUAUAAAUAAAUAAAUAAAUAAAUAAAAUAAAACGUCCAUCAGCUGAUUAUAGUAAACAAAGCAGAAACGUUGAUCAGCUGAUCAUGGUAAACAGAGCGGCAUGGCGGACGCUGCGGAACCUGUUGCCUCCUCGGCCGCUGGCGCGUUAGGUGGAAUUAUUCGGCCCCAUUGGAGAAGCUGCCUUAAUAGCCUUAAAAAAGCGACAUGUGGGGAAGAGAAGAGGCUGCACAGACACGAUAUAAGGUCCGGAAUCGAGUCAGAGUUGGGGACUUACGCAGAGUUUACUAUACCAUUCUAUAGCGACGGGGAGAUUCAAGUCUCGUUUGAGAAUGCUUAAUGCAACUUUCAUGGAUUUGUGCAAGCUUCUUAAGCCGGGGUUCAACUGGAUUUAUCUAGGCCUAAGACAUGACCCAUCUCUGGCCGCCAACUGACCAUGUUUCAACUGCCUGCAUGUGUGGUUUGAAUACACAGCAACUUGGAUCAUGGAUUCCCUAAUUUUGCUGUAGUUUCGGGUUUCAUGCCUUUUAAUUUUAGGAAAAGAGAAGAGGAGAAACCCCAGUGGAUAUGAGUCAAGGCUGUUUUCAGUCAGUUCUUGAAGGAACUGGCAAAUUAAGAUGAAGGAUAUGAAGAUAUCAUGUAAGAGGGUAAACAGAAGUAAAAGAUACAAUGAAGAGAAGCUCUGUAUUAUUAGGAAGUUUUUAGUUAGAAUGAUUCUAGUGAUAUUUUAAUCAUUUAUUUGUUGUGUUAAUGAUGUUAUUGAUGAUUCUGUGAUCUUUUGUUUAUUGCGGUUAGCAGGCUAUGUCUGAUUUUGCAACGUCACAUUAGCUGUAGUUAUGAGGCUAUGUAUGAUUUCGUGAUAUUUCGUUUAUUGUUAUUAUCGGGUUAAAGUUGAUUUUAUUAUAUUUCAUCUAAGGUCAGUUAUAAGCUUACUGUUAUUGUUAUAUAUAUAUAUAUUUUAUUGUACUUACUAGAAUUUUUUUUUUAUUUAGUUAUUGGUAAUUAUUUUUUUCCUUUUUCAUUUCCAUACAUUUUUUGUUUUCAUUUUUAAUGUAAUAUUCAUUGCCAAUAAAUCUGAUAUCAAAAUAUUGUUUUAGGCCACAAAUAAUGUUUCCUUCAAUAUUUGCAUUUUUACCACUGUAUACAUGUAUUCCUAUAACUGCAUGC